RNAcentral lists this ribosomal RNA (468 nucleotides) under uncultured bacterium. Its description in RNAcentral is "partial 16S ribosomal RNA". It matches the Rfam family "Bacterial small subunit ribosomal RNA", at positions 28 to 507 of the family's 1533-position model. The record is from RNAcentral.
GACGAACGCUGGCGGCGUGCUUAACACAUGCAAGUCGAACGGAAAGGCCCUGCUUUUGUGGGGUGCUCGAGUGGCGAACGGGUGAGUAACACGUGAGUAACCUGCCCUUGACUUUGGGAUAACUUCAGGAAACUGGGGCUAAUACCGGAUAGGAGCUCCUGCUGCAUGGUGGGGGUUGGAAAGUUUCGGCGGUUGGGGAUGGACUCGCGGCUUAUCAGCUUGUUGGUGGGGUAGUGGCUUACCAAGGCUUUGACGGGUAGCCCGCCUGAGAGGGUGACCGGCCACAUUGGGACUGAGAUACGGCCCAGACUCCUACGGGAGGCAGCAGUGGGGAAUAUUGCACAAUGGGCGGAAGCCUGAUGCAGCAACGCCGCGUGCGGGAUGACGGCCUUCGGGUUGUAAACCGAUUUCGCCUGUGACGAAGCGUGAGUGACGGUAAUGGGUAAAGAAGCACCGGCUAACUACGUG